AAGGUGUUAAUUUAAAAAAAAAUACGGACCUUCAAAGUCCGAAAAGAGUUAAAAACUCACACUUUG
Molecule: transfer RNA, 66 nt
Filed under: Prosthiostomum siphunculus
Lineage: Eukaryota; Metazoa; Platyhelminthes; Polycladida; Prosthiostomidae
Description: tRNA-Trp
Source: RNAcentral